UAAAAGGUAACGGAGGCGCCCAAAGGUUCCCUCAGAAUGGUUGGAAAUCAUUCGCAGAGUGUAAAGGCACAAGGGAGCUUGACUGCGAGACCUACAAGUCGAGCAGGGUCGAAAGACGGGCUUAGUGAUCCGGUGGUUCCGCAUGGAAGGGCCAUCGCUCAACGGAUAAAAGCUACCCUGGGGAUAACAGGCUUAUCUCCCCCAAGAGUCCACAUCGACGGGGAGGUUUGGCACCUCGAUGUCGGCUCAUCGCAUCCUGGGGCUGUAGUCGGUCCCAAGGGUUGGGCUGUUCGCCCAUUAAAGCGGUACGCGAGCUGGGUUCAGAACGUCGUGAGACAGUUCGGUCCCUAUCCGUCGUGGGCGUAGGAAAUUUGAGAGGAGCUGUCCUUAGUACGAGAGGACCGGGAUGGACACACCGCUGGUGUACCAGUUGUCUUGCCAAAGGCAUCGCUGGGUAGCUAUGUGUGGACGGGAUAAGUGCUGAAAGCAUCUAAGCAUGAAGCCCCCCUCAAGAUGAGAUUUCCCAUUACGCAAGUAAGUAAGACCCCUGAAAGACGAUCAGGUAGAUAGGUUCGAGAUGGAAGUGCAGCGAUGUACGGAGUUGACGAAUACUAAUAGGUCGAGGACUUAACCAAA
Molecule: ribosomal RNA, 636 nt
Filed under: Candidatus Kurthia intestinigallinarum
Lineage: Bacteria; Bacillati; Bacillota; Bacilli; Caryophanales; Caryophanaceae
Description: Kurthia sp. 3B1D partial 23S ribosomal RNA
Rfam family: Bacterial large subunit ribosomal RNA
Source: RNAcentral